This 20-nucleotide microRNA is filed under the name Ciona intestinalis (vase tunicate). RNAcentral's name for it is "cin-miR-4024-3p". Lineage: Eukaryota; Metazoa; Chordata; Ascidiacea; Phlebobranchia; Cionidae. The record is from miRBase by way of RNAcentral.
UUUCAUCUUUUGAUCCUAUG